AUACGUAGGGGGCGAGCGUUGUCCGGAAUGAUUGGGCGUAAAGGGCGCGUAGGCGGCCCGGUAAGUCUGGAGUGAAAGUCCUGUUUUUAAGAUGGGAAUUGCUUUGGAUACUGUCGGGCUUGAGUGCAGGAGAGGUAAGUGGAAUUCCCAGUGUAGCGGUGAAAUGCGUAGAGAUUGGGAGGAACACCAGUGGCGAAGGCGACUUACUGGACUGUAACUGACGCUGAGGCGCGAAAGUGUGGGGAGCAAACAGGAUUAGAUACCCUGGUAGUCCACACUGUAAACGAUGAAUACUAGGUGUGGGGGGACUGACCCCUUCCGUGCCGGAGUAAACACAAUAAGUAUUCCACCUGGGGAGUACGACCGCAAGGUUGAAACUCAAAGGAAUUGACGGGG
RNAcentral lists this ribosomal RNA (396 nucleotides) under uncultured bacterium. RNAcentral's name for it is "partial 16S ribosomal RNA". It matches the Rfam family "Bacterial small subunit ribosomal RNA", at positions 523 to 918 of the family's 1533-position model. The record is from RNAcentral.